ACCUACGGGGGGCAGCAGUGAGGAAUAUUGGUCAAUGGUCGGGAGACUGAACCAGCCAAGCCGCGUGAGGGAUGAAGGUACAGAGUAUCGUAAACCUCUUUUGUCAGGGAACAAAGGCGGGGACGUGUCCCCGGAUGAGUGUACCUGAAGAAAAAGCAUCGGCUAACUCCGUGCCAGCAGCCGCGGUAAUACGGAGGAUGCGAGCGUUAUCCGGAUUUAUUGGGUUUAAAGGGUGCGCAGGCGGUCUGUUAAGUCGGCGGUCAAAGCCCGGGGCUCAACCCCGGCCCGCCGUUGAAACUGGCAGU
This 305-nucleotide ribosomal RNA is filed under the name uncultured bacterium. RNAcentral's name for it is "bacterial SSU rRNA". It matches the Rfam family "Bacterial small subunit ribosomal RNA", at positions 337 to 640 of the family's 1533-position model. The record is from RNAcentral.